CCUACGGGGCGCACCAGGCGAGAAAACUUUGCAAUGUGCGAAAGCACGACAAGGUUAAUCCGAGUGGUUUCUGCUAAAGAAACCUUUUGUCAGUCCUAGAAACACUGAUGAAUAAGGGGUGGGCAAGUUCUGGUGUCAGCCGCCGCGGUAAAACCAGCACCUCAAGUGGUCAGGAUGAUUAUUGGGCCUAAAGCAUCCGUAGCUCGUUUUGUAAGUUUUCGGUUAAAUCCAUGCGCUUAACGUAUGGGCUGCCGGGAAUACUGCAUAACUAGGAAGUGGGAGAGGUAGACGGUACUCGGUAGGAAGGGGUAAAAUCCUUUGAUCUAUUGAUGACCACCUGUGGCGAAGGCGGUCUACCAGAACACGUUCGACGGUGAGGGAUGAAAGCUGGGGGAGCAAACCGGAUUAGAUACCCGGGUAGUCCCAGCUGUAAACUAUGCAAACUCAGUGAUGCAUUGGCUUGUGGCCAAUGCAGUGCUGCAGGGAAGCCGUUAAGUUUGCCGCCUGGGAAGUACGUACGCAAGUAUGAAACUUAAAGGAAUUGGCGGGGGAGCAC
This 556-nucleotide ribosomal RNA is filed under the name uncultured crenarchaeote. Its description in RNAcentral is "bacterial SSU rRNA". It matches the Rfam family "Archaeal small subunit ribosomal RNA", at positions 322 to 879 of the family's 1478-position model. Lineage: Archaea; Thermoproteati; Thermoproteota. The record is from RNAcentral.